GACGAACGCUGGCGGCGUGCUUAACACAUGCAAGUCGAACGGAAAGGCCCUGCUUUUGUGGGGUGCUCGAGUGGCGAACGGGUGAGUAACACGCGAGUAACCUGCCCUUGACUUUGGGAUAACUUCAGGAAACUGGGGCUAAUACCGGAUAGGAGCUCCUGCUGCAUGGGGGGGGUUGGAAAGUUUCGGCGGUUGGGGAUGGACUCGCGGCUUAUCCGCUUGUUGGUGGGGUAGUGGCUUACCAAGGCUUUGACGGGUAGCCGGCCUGAGAGGGUGACCGGCCACAUUGGGACUGCGAUACGGCCCAGACUCCUACGGGAGGCAGCAGUGGGGAAUCUUGCACAAUGGGCGGAAGCCUGAUGCAGCAAUGCCGCGUGCGGGAUGACGGCUUUCGGGUUGUAAACCGCUUUCGCCUGUGACGAAGCGUGAGUGACGGUAAUGGGUAAGGAAGCCCCGGCUAACUACGUG
This 468-nucleotide ribosomal RNA is filed under the name uncultured bacterium. RNAcentral's name for it is "partial 16S ribosomal RNA". It matches the Rfam family "Bacterial small subunit ribosomal RNA", at positions 28 to 507 of the family's 1533-position model. The record is from RNAcentral.